RNAcentral lists this long non-coding RNA (3646 nucleotides) under Marmota monax (woodchuck). Lineage: Eukaryota; Metazoa; Chordata; Mammalia; Rodentia; Sciuridae. The record is from RNAcentral.
GGUGCCACCUCCUUGGAGACCCACCCAUAGGUGGUUACUCAGUGUUUGACGGCAUGUGUGCCUUGGACCCCAAAUUCCACUUCCGGGUACCUUUUCUAAGGAAACACAGCUCCUGGCAACAAGGACACUGAAGGAACACUUGAAAACGUUGAAAUUGUAAAGGAAAACAAAUAAACCUGCACAAAGGUCCUUACGUGUGGAAAUAAAGAAUCAUGUCAGGGAGACCCAGAAGGGCUUGGGCAGCCAAGGUAAGAUGGCGAGUGAGGGGGCAGGGCCAGAACAAAGGAACGUGGCGAGGGUCUUCUAAUGAAGUCAAUUUGCUGGUUGACGAGAAGGGCUUGUGCACACAAGCAGGGGACACAGUGAGACAGACACGUCACACUCACGCUCUUAAGGGGGGAUCCAGCAGAAAAAGUAAAACAGACAGGUGGACGGAGGGGGCUCCCAUCAAUACUAGUGAGGAGAGUGUGGACAGGGAGGAGAAAAGGAAAGAAGGGAAUGCCAAAGAACACAAAAUACAAGCAGAGCCCCCCCCCCACCACCACCACCACGGAUUCCUGGCUCUGGGGCCCCUUUUCUUCAGAGAAGUCUUUCUCUGUGGCUUUUGCAGUAAACCUGCUGCUUGCUUGCUAUCUCUGUGUCCCGCCCUUCAGUUCUUUGCUGAAUGCAGACAGUGAACCCAGCACCCCUAGAGGGUAACGUUGGCACAUUCUGGAGAAUGCUAGGUAGAAGGUAAAAGUGAUGGGACAGUUCUCCAGGAACGCACAGGACAAGUUCACCCGGACUUCCUGCCAAAUGCAAAAUCCAAGUUGCCGCACUACAUGUGGCGUGAUCCAGUGUGUUUUACAGCCCCGUGAAACAGAGCCAGGCAUUUCCACAGGGGUAUUCGGGUGUAUGUGAACACACGACUGGAGAAUACUUGAGGAAACACACCAGGCUGAAGGUGAGGAGACUGGUGAUGGAGUGGGAUGGAAGAGGGACACCACCGUUUUAUCUGUGUUCUUUAGUGGGGUUCGGGGAGAUUGUGUGCAGGGGUUAUUUUGUGUAAGCAAGACAAUAUUUAAAACUGUGGCAGAUCUGUAACCAGCAGGUGUUCUGAAAAAGGGAUCUGUUACUAUUGUCAAUAAUAAGAAUCACAACCCACUUGGAAGAGUUUCUGAGAAACUGCUUGCAAGCCCACAGAAUUUUAUUGAGACCCUCCCGCGUACCUAGUGCUUCCCCGUAGAUAAUUACCUGCAGUUCACCCUGUGGAAUCCCAGGGCUGGCGGGAUACAGCUGGGCCCUUCUCCCUGGAACAUGCCCUCCAAAUGAAGGUUUCCAAUUUUCAUCCCUAUACUCUUUGCAUUUCAGCACCUUAUGAAGUUGGGAGCUGUCGUGGAGAGCACUUCUUGAGGUGAAUCCCACCCACAGCACAGGAGUCUCCUUAAGGAAGCUCCAUCCCACCCACACCCUCCGGGUCCAUUCAAGGCAGGUGCCCAGAGGCAGCUUAUUUUCUCCAGGACACUCAGGAAGAAAAGGAAAUCCACAGAGGCUGGGCAGGGCUGUCAGCCUCACCCCACAUUGGGUUCUGGGGGAGUGUGCAGCCUGACCACCAGUAGCAGCCCCAGACUCAUUGCUCAGCAAAAUCCCAAGGUGGGUGUAAUAGUCUGCUCUGGCUGCCACAACAAAACACUACAAACUGGGUGACUGCAACAACAGAAAUUUAUUUUCACAAGGUUCUGUAGGCUGGGGACUCCAAGGUCAAGGACUUUUGCAGCUUGGUCUCAUGUUUGGCCUCCUCCUCACUAAGUCCUCCUGUGACCUUUCCAUGAUGUGUGUGCGUGUGUGUGUGUGUGUGAGGGGGGUGUGUGUGUGUGCGUGUGUGUGCACAGACAGACAGUAAGUUCACUAGGGUCUCUCUGUAGAAGGAUAUUAGUCCUAUCACAUCAGGGUCCCACCCUUCAUGGCCUCACUGAACCUUACUCGGCCUUAAAGGCUCUGGCUCCAAAUGCAGUCACAAUGGGAGUGAGGACUUCAUCACAUGAAUUGGAGUGGAGGGAAGUACAAUUCAGUGCAUAGCAAGUAGUAAAUAUUUUGCUGCUGAUUUGACUUUCUAGUGACCCUGCUCCCCGGCCAUCCAGAUCACAGAUGUCACUACCUUCAGAUACUGAAAGAUAUAUCCGGCCCCUCAUCCUAACCUAAAGCAGCCAACUACCACUCCCAGUGUUACCAAUGAAGUGGGGGAGUGGGUACCCCGCCCAUGAACUGCCACUGUUUUUAGCAUCACCAAUGACAUCAGAAUCCCUGGACCUGACCAUGGGUACAACCUAGAGCCUCUGAGAGGACAAGAUAUGGGAAUGGAUCCCCAGAACUGAUUGAUUGGGCCCUGAGAAAGCUCACUCAGAAUCUCCAGCAUAAGGGGCUCAGAGGCUCUGGGGUGCUGGGGGGAGUGCACAAAGUAUCCUGUUCUUCUUCUGCCACCUGGUGGUUAGUCAGUAUGUUGACAAGUGCACAAAAGGAAACCUGGAGUUUGGGGGUCUUAGAUAGAAUCUGGCCUUUCUCCCUGGGAGUUUAGGGGUCUGACCAGGAACUAGGAAGAAACUCCUCACUUACCAGUCAAGUUUCCUCACGUGAGGAUUAAACGUGUGCAGAGAAAUGACAGUGUAGUGAUUUGGGUCUUCGUUUCUAUCCAUUAUCUUUUAAGUUGGCAAUUUACACCAAGCCUGCAGUUUAGGACUUAAACCCAACCCACACAAUGUAGCUAGCUGCAAGCCAAACAAGAACCAUCGCUUUCACUUGUUCACUGGUUCAUGUUCCACACACUCCUCUUUUUCCAUGGAGUGCAGUAGGAACAAGCCUCGUUGGAGUGGAGUCACGGGAAGGGAGAUGUGGAGGACAGGGCAGGAGACCUUUUCACUUUGGGGAGGAGUUUCUGAGUAUCUGGCACAACUUGCCCAGAGACUCACAAGGUUUUGGUAAAAAGUUGUGUGUAAAUCAGGUACUCACGUACUGGACAGCUCAGGGCUCUUGUGCGUCUGACUUGUACAAGACCCCAUGAAGGACAGAGCUGUCUGGGACCGCUGGCACCCUCCUCUCUAGGCCAUCCUAUACACGUGAUGGCUUGGUCAGCAGCUCUAAUGCUGUUAAUGGUCUCCUUUUAAAGCCAGUGGCCACCCGUCUGAUGGGCAGGGGUUCUGCAUGUGAAAUCCCAUCUGCAGUGUCGGGGGUCUUGGUGAUAUGCUUCCCAGCUCUUUCCCCAAUCCUAUCUCUAGUACUCUGGGUCUGUCUAGAAUGCUGGUGUGACACACCCUGAACAGAAGUGAUGGCUGAGGUUUCCUCAGGUUUGCAGUUGAUAUGUAUUCAGGGGUCAAAUAAGUCUCCCUGCAGUUGCCUCUGCCCUUUGAAGGGAAACCCGUCCAUUACUCACAAAUGACUCAUUUUGUACAUGAGAAACACCCACGUCAUCCAUAAGGCUUGGCUGUGAAAUGUGUGGAAAGCUACGUAGAGUUAAAGGACAAUAGUGCUUCAUGAAGUCAGGUGACAAAGAACACCCAGUUUGCCUGGUACUGAAGGAUCUUCCAGGACAUAGGACUGGCAGUGAGAAAACUGGGGUGGUCUCAGACAAACUGGGACAGUGGAUGGCCACCACACAGGGGCAAAGGGACAU